This 734-nucleotide ribosomal RNA is filed under the name uncultured archaeon. RNAcentral's name for it is "bacterial SSU rRNA". It matches the Rfam family "Archaeal small subunit ribosomal RNA", at positions 1 to 731 of the family's 1478-position model. The record is from RNAcentral.
GCCCUUUUCCGGUUGAUCCUGCCGGAGGCCAUUGCUAUCGGGGUCCGAUUAAGCCAUGCUAGUCGCACGGGUUUAGACCCGUGGCGGAAAGCUCAGUAACACGUGGCCAAACUGCCCUGUGGAUCAGGAUAACCUCGGGAAACUGAGGCUAAUUCUGAAUAAGGCUCACAUCUUGGAGUAGAGUGAGUCUGAAAUGCUACGGCGCCACAGGAUGUGGCUGCGGCCGAUUAGGUAGACGGUGGGGUAACGGCCCACCGUGCCCAUAAUCGGUACGGGUUGUGAGAGCAAGAGCCCGGAGACGGUAUCUGAGACAAGAUACCGGGCCCUACGGGGCGCAGCAGGCGCGAAACCUUUACACUGUGCGAGAGCGCGAUAAGGGGACCCCGAGUGCGAGGGCAUAUAGUCCUCGCUUUUCUGGACUGUAGGGAGGUCUAGGAAUAAGAGCUGGGCAAGACCGGUGCCAGCCGCCGCGGUAAUACCGGCAGCUCAAGUGAUGGCCGAUUUUAUUGGGCCUAAAGCGUCCGUAGCCGGCCAGACAGGUCCGUCGGGAAAUCUGCACGCCCAACGUGCAGACGUCCGGCGGAAACCAGCUGGCUUGGGGCCGGAAGACCCAGGGGGUACGUCCGGGGUAGGAGUGAAAUCCUGUAAUCCCGGACGGACCGCCGGUGGCGAAAGCGCCCUGGGAGGACGGACCCGACGGUGAGGGACGAAAGCUAGGGUCACGAACCGGAUUA